RNAcentral lists this transfer RNA (65 nucleotides) under bovine gut metagenome. It matches the Rfam family "tRNA". From Rfam's summary of the family: Transfer RNA (tRNA) molecules are approximately 80 nucleotides in length. Their secondary structure includes four short double-helical elements and three loops (D, anti-codon, and T loops). The record is from RNAcentral.
GGAUGUAGCCAAAUGGUAAGGCAGGGGACUUUGACUCCCCCAUCGCAGGUUCGAUUCCUGCCAUC